CAGGCUCACUGCUGAAAAUCCUUUGCAUUAGGAUGACCAGAAAGAGUUCUCCUUGCCAGCCAAACAGGACUCCAGGGAAGAGGGGUCUUACCCUCUACUGCAACUAUCGAGGCUUAAUGCACCCGUGGAAGUGAAAGGCCUGAGAAAGAAGUCAGAAUCUAACCCCAAAGACAGGAAUCCAUUAUUUAAGAAAGGCUGGGCUGAAGACUCGGUGGAACAAAAUAAAAAGGUUCUAGAAGAAAAAUUGAGAAGAG
RNAcentral lists this long non-coding RNA (254 nucleotides) under Struthio camelus australis. RNAcentral describes it as "lncRNA (ENSSCUG00000011936.1)". The record is from RNAcentral. Lineage: Eukaryota; Metazoa; Chordata; Aves; Struthioniformes; Struthionidae.